CCGAUGUCGGAUUAGCUAGUUGGCGGGGUAAAGGCCCACCAAGGCGACGAUCCGUAGCUGGUCUGAGAGGAUGAUCAGCCACACUGGAACUGAGACACGGUCCAGACUCCUACGGGAGGCAGCAGUGGGGAAUAUUGGACAAUGGGCGCAAGCCUGAUCCACCCAUACCGCGUGGGUGAAGAAGGCCUUCGGGUUGUAAAGCCCUUUUGUUGGGAAAGAAAUCCAGCUGGCUAAUACCCGGUUGGGAUGACGGUACCCAAAGAAUAAGCACCGGCUAACUUCGUGCCAGCAGCCGCGGUAAUACGAAGGGUGCAAGCGUUCUCGGAAUUACUGGGCGUAAAGCGUGCGUAGGUGGUCGUUUAAGUCCGUUGUGAACCCCUGGGCUCACCUGGGAACUGCAGUGGAUACUGGGCGACUAGAGUGUGGAGAGGG
This 432-nucleotide ribosomal RNA is filed under the name Stenotrophomonas maltophilia. Its description in RNAcentral is "bacterial SSU rRNA". It matches the Rfam family "Bacterial small subunit ribosomal RNA", at positions 230 to 657 of the family's 1533-position model. Lineage: Bacteria; Pseudomonadati; Pseudomonadota; Gammaproteobacteria; Lysobacterales; Lysobacteraceae. The record is from RNAcentral.